Molecule: ribosomal RNA, 468 nt
Filed under: uncultured bacterium
Lineage: Bacteria
Description: partial 16S ribosomal RNA
Rfam family: Bacterial small subunit ribosomal RNA
Source: RNAcentral
GACGAACGCUGGCGGCGUGCUUAACACAUGCAAGUCGAACGGAAAGGCCCUGCUUUUGUGGGGUGCUCGAGUGGCGAACGGGUGAGUAACACGUGAGUAACCUGCCCUUGACUUUGGGAUAACUUCAGGAAACUGGGGCUAAUACCGGAUAGGAGCUCCUGCUGCACGGUGGGGGUUGGAAAGUUUCGGCGGUUGGGGAUGGACUCGCGGCUUAUCAGCUUGUUGGUGGGGUAGUGGCUUACCAAGGCUUUGACGGGUAGCCGGCCUGAGAGGGUGACCGGCCGCAUUGGGACUGAGAUACGGCCCAGACUCCUACGGGAGGCAGCAGUGGGGAAUAUUGCACAAUGGGCGGAAGCCUGAUGCAGCAACGCCGCGUGCGGGAUGACGGCCUUCGGGUUGUAAACCGCUUUCGCCUGUGACGAAGCGUGAGUGACGGUAAUGGGUAAAGAAGCACCGGCUAACUACGUG